RNAcentral lists this ribosomal RNA (347 nucleotides) under Cycloptiloides orientalis. RNAcentral's name for it is "partial 12S ribosomal RNA". Lineage: Eukaryota; Metazoa; Arthropoda; Insecta; Orthoptera; Mogoplistidae. The record is from RNAcentral.
UGUUAAUGUAAAGAAUUUGAUUAGGGUAGUAGUAGGUAUGAUCUUGAAACCUAAAGAAUUUGGCGGUGCUUUAAUCUAAUUAGAGGAACUUGCUUCAUAAAUUGAUAAUACACGAUUGUGAGUACUUGAUUAAAGGCUUGUAUAUCGCCGUCAUUAGAAUGUCUUGAAAAAGAAAUAUUCUGAAAUUUUUAAAGGAAAAUAUGUCAGGUCAAGAUGCAGCAGUAAUCAAGUGAAAGUGAGUUACAAUAAAAUUAUAUAAUGGAUUUUAAUAUGGAAGAUAAAAUGAAAUUGGAUUUAAUAGUAAAAUAAUUUUGUUUAGCUUAUUUGAAUGGGGCUCUGAAGCAUGC